GACGAACGCUGGCGGCGCGCCUAACACAUGCAAGUCGAACGAGCGAGAGAGAGCUUGCUUUCUCAAGCGAGUGGCGAACGGGUGAGUAACGCGUGAGUAACCUGCCUAGUAGAGGGGGACAACAGUUGGAAACGACUGCUAAUACCGCAUAAGCCCACAGGUCGGCAUCGACCAGAGGGAAAAGGAGCAAUCAGCUUUGAGAUGGCCUCGCGUCCGAUUAGCUAGUUGGUGAGGUAACGGCCCACCAAGGCAACGAUCGGUAGCCGGACUGAGAGGUUGAACGGCCACAUUGGGACUGAGACACGGCCCAGACUCCUACGGGAGGCAGCAGUGGGGAAUAUUGCACAAUGGGGGAAACCCUGAUGCAGCGACGCCGCGUGGAGGAAGAAGGUCUUCGGAUUGUAAACUCCUGUUGUUGAGGAAGAUAAUGACGGUACUCAACAAGGAAGUGACGGCUAACUACGUG
RNAcentral lists this ribosomal RNA (466 nucleotides) under uncultured bacterium. RNAcentral's name for it is "partial 16S ribosomal RNA". It matches the Rfam family "Bacterial small subunit ribosomal RNA", at positions 28 to 507 of the family's 1533-position model. The record is from RNAcentral.